Molecule: ribosomal RNA, 425 nt
Filed under: uncultured bacterium
Lineage: Bacteria
Description: partial 16S ribosomal RNA
Rfam family: Bacterial small subunit ribosomal RNA
Source: RNAcentral
AUGGGGUAUAUUGGACAAUGGGCGCAAGCCUGAUCCAGCCAUGCCGCGUGAGUGAUGAAGGCCCUAGGGUUGUAAAGCUCUUUCACCGGUGAAGAUAAUGACGGUAACCGGAGAAGAAGCCCCGGCUAACUUCGUGCCAGCAGCCGCGGUAAUACGAAGGGGGCUAGCGUUGUUCGGAAUUACUGGGCGUAAAGCGCACGUAGGCGGACAUUUAAGUCAGGGGUGAAAUCCCAGAGCUCAACUCUGGAACUGCCUUUGAUACUGGGUGUCUUGAGGAUGGAAGAGGUAAGUGGAAUUCCGAGUGUAGAGGUGAAAUUCGUAGAUAUUCGGAGGAACACCAGUGGCGAAGGCGGCUUACUGGUCCAUUACUGACGCUGAGGUGCGAAAGCGUGGGGAGCAAACAGGAUUAGAAACCCGGGUAGUCC